UAGAGUUUUCCUAUGGGACAAUCGGGUGU
This 29-nucleotide non-coding RNA is filed under the name Rattus norvegicus (Norway rat). The record is from RNAcentral. Lineage: Eukaryota; Metazoa; Chordata; Mammalia; Rodentia; Muridae.